Molecule: long non-coding RNA, 649 nt
Filed under: Capsicum annuum
Lineage: Eukaryota; Viridiplantae; Streptophyta; Magnoliopsida; Solanales; Solanaceae
Description: long non-coding RNA (CANN_LNC016143)
Source: RNAcentral
GGGGAACAUUCUGUUUCCGCUUCCGUUGAUGGAUCAGUGACUUCAGAAUCUGUUACAUGAUCUAGAAAAUGAAGUUACAGAACAUUCAAGAGAACCAAAUAAUGCAUUGUUGCCCGCCCCUUCCCAUCAUAGAUCAUCAGAAAUGCAGCAGAUACAACAAUCUGCACCAUGUUUGCAUAUUGACUUUGAAAGUUUUCUCAAUCUAUUUUGCCUCUAGCCUCUUUAUAUAUUUCCAGCUCUCUCGCUAAAUGACUUGAGAGCCUUCUUAUCAGUAUCUACAUCUUAAGUGUACCAAAUUCUGAAAACCCCCAUCAUAUGGAUUUUUAUAAAGAAUAGUAGUGAAGGAUCAACUAUCGAUAUAAGGUACUACGACAUGAUGUCUUGUAACAGCUACUACCUCCUCUACAUUGUUUUUAAAUUCUUUCGCGGGAAUUAAAACAUAAAUGAACCAUAUAACUCAUAGAGACAAGCAUGAAGCUCUGCUGCCCUCUGUCAUAAAAGUUUCAAAAUGAGAACCUUGUAAAUAAAACAUGAAAUAGUAAUAGCUGAAAGAACAGGCAAUUGACUUGGAGAAAAUUACCUUCUGUAAUUUCAGAUUCAUCAAUUUCGUCUUCUUCUUCUUUUUGAGCCACCGUGAUGCUCUCCAUGC